Long non-coding RNA from Sphaeramia orbicularis (orbiculate cardinalfish), 156 nucleotides. RefSeq lists it as uncharacterized. Lineage: Eukaryota; Metazoa; Chordata; Actinopteri; Kurtiformes; Apogonidae. The transcript is spliced from 4 exons. The record is from RefSeq and is a predicted model, not a curated record.
AAUGACAACUCCAAAUUUUUCCUUUUGUUUCAUUCAUUCAUCUUCUGAACCCGCUUUAUCCUCACCAGGGUCAUGGGGGGGUGCUGGAGUCUAGCCCAGCUACUUAUGUGCGAAGGCGGGGUACGCCCUGGAUGAGUCACCAGUUCAUCGCAGGGC